GCCGUUGUAGCUCAAAGCAGAGCGCCGCCCAUUUAAGGCGGGUCAACAUUGAUGAUACAUCCACGUUGCAGGUGUCUGUGAUCAAUCACCGCAGAGGGCUGGCGUGGUUUGGUGCCGGUUCAAAUCCGGCCAACGGCUCCA
This 141-nucleotide transfer RNA is filed under the name Caudoviricetes sp. Its description in RNAcentral is "tRNA-Lys". It matches the Rfam family "tRNA". Rfam says of the family: Transfer RNA (tRNA) molecules are approximately 80 nucleotides in length. The record is from RNAcentral. Lineage: Duplodnaviria; Heunggongvirae; Uroviricota; Caudoviricetes.